GACUUUCAAAUCGACGAUCGGCUCCGUUAGAGUUGAUCUAGAGUAUUUGAAGUACCUAGAAAAUAAAUUUUGCGAUUUUUCGAUAUCAUUUGCCUAGUGAUCGAAGGGGCUCAAAAUCAAUAAUUUUAAUGGCCGUGGUGAGCCGGUUGCAAGUUUAACGGUGUAGAAAUAUCCAAAUCACGUAAAAUUUUGAUAGAAAAAUUUUUAUACUAUAUAAAAUAAGAUCAAUAUCUUUGAUCUAAAAUUUUAAUGUUAUAUUAUCAUAUUUUGUAAGAUUUUUAUUUUUAGUCGUUGAUUUUGAGCCCCUUAGUUCACUAGGCAAAUGAUAUCGAAAAAUUACAAAAUUUAUUUUCUAGCUACUUUAAAUACUCUAAAUCAAGUUUAACGGAGCCGAUCGACAAUUCGAAAGUCGCAACAUCAAAAACGACAUGGAAGCACGGAAGGCUCCGUGCUUCCAGAAGCAUAGUAGCCUCACACUAUAUAUAUAUAUAUAUAUAUAUAUAUAUAUAUUAGUCAAGUACUAUACUUUUAUGAGUAUUGGCUCCCUUAUACUCAUAAGUCUUCGGCCCUUAGAUUUAUUUCAUUAAUUAUUUCCACCCGUUAGAUCAUAAUAUUCACCCAGCUACCCACUCAACCCUAGAGGACCACUAUCAUUCUAAGUAGAGACAACCAUCAUCCUAGCCAUACAUUUCAUUAAUCAACGGUCAAAAAUUUAUGAGUAUAAGGGGGUCUAUACUCAUAAAAGUAUAGUAGCCCCAGCCAUAUAUAUAUAUAUAUAUAUAUAUAUAUAUAUAUAUAUAUAUAGAGAGAGAGAGAGAGAGAGAGAGAGAGAGAGAGAGAGAGAGAGAGAGAGAGUAGAAUUACUAUACUAUUAUGAAUAUUGGGUCCUUCGUACUCAUAAGUUGUUUUAGAUGAUGGAGCUUCCGAAUCGACGAUCCACUCCGUUAAAUAUGAUCUAGAAUAUUUGAAACUUCUAGAAAAUAAAUUUCGUAAUUUUUCGAAAUCAUAAUAAAAUCCAUUAAGCGGGCAUAAAAUGAAUGCUCAAAAUUGAACAAUGUCUUAAAAAUGGAUGAUUGGAUCCUUCAAUUUAAGAUCGGAGUUAUUGAUUUUUAUCUAGGUAGUGAAUAGAAUUUUCUAUCAAAAAUUCAAUUUAUUCGGAUUCUUUUGCACCGUUAAACUAGCAAGUAUUCCAUAUCGACCGUUAAAAAUUGUCAAUUUUGUGAGCAUUUGAUCGUAAGGUAAAUGAUGUCGAAAAAUUAUAAAAUUUGAUUUCUAGAUGUUUCAAAUGCUCUAGAUAAUGUUUAACGGUGUGGAUCGUCGAUUCGAAAGCUCUAUCAUCGAAAACAACUUAUGAGUACGAGGGCGAUCGUACUCAUAAUAGUAUAGUAGUCGGACUCCAUAUAUAUAUAUUUAUAUAGAGAGAGAGAGAGAGAGAGAGAGAGAGAGAGAGAGAGAGAGUUGAGAUAGAAUACUAUCAAUAGUAAACGGGCUCUGUUGUCACCCAUUUUUUUUUCGAUAAUAGAGCCUCCAAAUCGACGAUCGGCACCGUUGAACAUGAUUUAUACCACUUGAAGUGUUUACAAAUCAAAUUUUAAAUCUUUUCGACAUCAUUUGCCUAAUGAUCAAAGGGUUUCAAAAUUUGUAAUUUUAAUGGUCGAUACGAGGCGUUUUCUCAUUUAACGGCAUAAAGAUAUUAAAAUUAAUUGAAUUUUUGUUAGAAAAUUUUUUAAACUAUUUAAAAUAAGAUCUAUACUCUUGACCUUGAUUACAAGACUUCUAUCAUCAUUUUUUAAAGAAUAUUCAUUUUCAGCCGUUCAUUUUUGUGUCUACUCAAUGGAUAGAGAACAAUAUCAAAAAUGUAUGAAAUUUGAUUUCUAAAUAUUUCAAGUGGUAUAGAUCAUGUUAAACGGUGCCGAUCGUCAAUUCAGAGACUCCAUCAUCGAAAAUAAAUGGGUGGCAACAGAUCCCCUUUGCUAUCGAUAACAUUCUAGCUCAACUCUAUAUAUAUAUAUAUAGAGCAGAGCUGCUGUGCUCUCAGAAGCAGGGAGGCCUCCAUGCUCCUGAGCCAUUUUUUAUGAUGGAAUUUUCGAAUCGACGAUCGGCUCCGUUAGACUUGAUCUAGCGCAUUUGAAUUUUCUAGAAAAUAAUUUUUGCGAUUUUUUGAUAUCAUUGACCUAAUGAUCGAAGGAUUCAAAAUCCAUAAUUUUUAAUGGUUGAUAUCUGCCGUUUUCAAGUUUAACGGUGUAGAAGUAUUCAAAUCAGAUGAAAUUUUGAUACAAAAUUCUUUAUACUAUCUACAACAAAAUCAAUAUUUCUGAUCGAAAAUUUUAAUGCUAUAACACCACUUUUUAUUGGAUUUUUAUUUUCAGCCAUUAAAAAUUAUUGAUUUUGAAUCAUUUCAAUUGUUAGGUAAAUGAUAUCGAAAAAUCGCAAAAAUUAUUUUCUAGAAACUUCAAAUACGCUAUAUCAAGUUUAACGGAGCCGAUCGUCGAUUCGGAAACUCCAUCAUCAAAAACGGCUGAGGAGCACGGAGGCCUCCGUGCUCCUGAGAGCACAGCAGCCUUGCUCUAUCUCUCUUUAUAUAUAUAUAUAUAUAUAUAUAGGCCAUGAUACUAUACUAUUAUGAGUAUUGGAGCCUCGUACUCAUAAGUUGUUUUCAAUGAUGGAGCUUCCGAAUUUUACGAUCCACUCCGUAAAUAUGAUCUAGAGUAUUUGAAACUUCUAGAAAAUAAAUUUCGUAAUUUCGAAAUCAUAAUUAAGUCCAUCAAGUGGGCAUAAAAUGAACGGUCAAAAUCGAACGACGUUCUAAAAAGGAUGAUCGGAUUUUCAAUUCAAGAUCGCGAGUUAUUGAUCUUUUCUAUGUAGUGAAUAGAAUUUUCUAUCAAAAAUUCAACAAAUUUCGAUUCUUUUCAUCGUUAACUAGCAAGUAUCACAUACGGCCGUUAAAAUUGUCAAAUAUUGGACCUCUUAUCGUAAGGUAAAUGAUGUCGAAAAUAUAAAAUUAUAAAAUUUGAUUUCUAGAAGUUUUAAAUGGUGUAAAUAACGUUUAACGGUGUGGAUCGUCGAUUCAGAGCUCUAUUAUCGAAACAACUUAUGGUACGAGGGCGAUCGUACUCAUAAUAGUUAUAGUAGCCGGACCC
Molecule: long non-coding RNA, 3140 nt
Filed under: Ananas comosus (pineapple)
Lineage: Eukaryota; Viridiplantae; Streptophyta; Magnoliopsida; Poales; Bromeliaceae
Description: long non-coding RNA (ACOM_LNC027647)
Source: RNAcentral